GAUGAAGAACGUAGCGAAAUGCGAUAAGUAAUGUGAAUUGCAGAAUUCAGUGAAUCAUCGAAUCUUUGAACGCAUCUUGCGCUCCUUGGUAUUCUGAGGAGCAUGCCUGUUUGAGUGUCAUUAAAUUCUCAACUACGCUGACUUUGAAUUGGUGUGGCUUGGAUUUGGGGGGAAAAUUGUUGUGGGCUUUUUGUAUAGUCUGCUCCCCUGAAAUUGAUUAGCGGUACCUUUGUGGAACUGUCUACAGGUGUGAUAAUUAUCUACAUCUUAGACAUCUGCUGGAAUGCUGCUUUCUAAACCUUACUUGUAUUGACAAUCUUGACCUCAAAUCAGGUAGGACUACCCGCUGAACUUAAGCAUAUCAAUAAGCGGAGGA
This 376-nucleotide unclassified non-coding RNA is filed under the name soil metagenome. RNAcentral describes it as "partial contains 5.8S ribosomal RNA, internal transcribed spacer 2, and large subunit ribosomal RNA". The stretch from base 1 to 120 matches the Rfam family "5.8S ribosomal RNA", at positions 35 to 154 of the family's 154-position model. The record is from RNAcentral.